Molecule: long non-coding RNA, 449 nt
Organism: Homo sapiens (human)
Lineage: Eukaryota; Metazoa; Chordata; Mammalia; Primates; Hominidae
Gene: MAMDC2-AS1
Product: MAMDC2 antisense RNA 1
Source: Ensembl
AGCAACAGAAAACCAAGUGAUGAACCCACAAUGAAAGGUCACAUAAUAUUUGGAAAGGGAGCUUCACUUUAUAUGGUAUUUAACAAAGGAUGAAAAUAUAAGAAAAGGCUGCAUUACCCGAUAGAGAGUGUUUGUUCUACCAAAGAUCAGUUCUCAGAACACAUUUUCCACUACAUCAUUUGUCAGAAAUCCAUCUAUUAGCAGAGCAAAGAAGAAUGGCUGUGAUCACCAGGACUUGGAAGCUAAGGCCCAGAGAGGAGGAGAAACUUGAUCAAAGUCAAUCAGACAAUGCAGAAUCGAGAAAAGUACCUGGACCUCUAUGCCCAUGCUUCUAGCAGCCAGCCUCCUAAAAUACCUCUAGUUGAAGCCAAAGUUAGAAUCCUUCUACGAAACUACAGGAUUAAAAUGGAAUGGUUACAUGACCCAGGCUUGACCAAUCAGAUCAUCCA